UUUGGUUGUGGAAAGUUUUUUCGGUUGGGGAUGGGCUCGCGGCCUAUCAGUUUGUUGGUGAGGUAAUGGCUCACCAAGACGACGACGGGUAGCCGGCCUGAGAGGGCGACCGGCCACACUGGGACUGAGACACGGCCCAGACUCCUACGGGAGGCAGCAGUGGGGAAUAUUGCACAAUGGGGGAAACCCUGAUGCAGCGACGCAGCGUGCGGGAUGACUGCCUUCGGGUUGUAAACCGCUUUCAGCAGGGAAGAAGCCCUUCGGGGUGACGGUACCUGCAGAAGAAGUACCGGCUAACUACGUGCCAGCAGCCGCGGUAAUACGUAGGGUACAAGCGUUGUCCGGAAUUAUUGGGCGUAAAGAGCUCGUAGGUGGUUGGUCACGUCUGCUGUGGAAACGCAACGCUUAACGUUGCGCGUGCAGUGGGUACGGGCUGACUAGAGUGCAGUAGGGGAGUCUGGAAUUCCUGGUGUAGCGGUGAAAUGCGCAGAUAUCAGGAGGAACACCGGUGGCGAAGGCGGGACUCUGGGCUGUAACUGACACUGAGGAGCGAAAGCAUGGGGAGCGAACAGGAUUAGAUACCCUGGUAGUCCAUGCCGUAAACGUUGGGCACUAGGUGUGGGGGACAUUCCACGUUCUCCGCGCCGUAGCUAACGCAUUAAGUGCCCCGCCUGGGGAGUACGGUCGCAAGGCUAAAACUCAAAGGAAUUGACGGGGGCCCGCACAAGCGGCGGAGCAUGCGGAUUAAUUCGAUGCAACGCGAAGAACCUUACCAAGGCUUGACAUACACCAGACCGUUCUGGAAACAGUUCCUCCCCUUUGGGGUUGGUGUACAGGUGGUGCAUGGUUGUCGUCAGCUCGUGUCGUGAGAUGUUGGGUUAAGUCCCGCAACGAGCGCAACCCUCGUUCUAUGUUGCCAGCACGUGAUGGUGGGAACUCAUAGGAGACUGCCGGGGUCAACUCGGAGGAAGGUGGGGAUGACGUCAAAUCAUCAUGCCCUUUAUGUCUUGGGCUUCACGCAUGCUACAAUGGCUGGUACAGAGAGAUGCGAGACCGCGAGGUUUUAGCGAAUCCCUUAAAGCCAGUCUCAGUUCGGAUCGUAGUCUGCAAUUCGACUACGUGAAGUCGGAGUCGCUAGUAAUCGCAGAUCAGCAACGCGCG
This 1161-nucleotide ribosomal RNA is filed under the name uncultured bacterium. RNAcentral describes it as "bacterial SSU rRNA". It matches the Rfam family "Bacterial small subunit ribosomal RNA", at positions 192 to 1361 of the family's 1533-position model. The record is from RNAcentral.